CCUACGGGGGGCAGCAGUGAGGAAUAUUGGUCAAUGGGCGCGAGCCUGAACCAGCCAAGUAGCGUGAAGGAUGACUGCCCUACGGGUUGUAAACUUCUUUUAUAAAGGAAUAAAGUGAGGCACGUGUGCCUUUUUGUAUGUACUUUAUGAAUAAGGAUCGGCUAACUCCGUGCCAGCAGCCGCGGUAAUACGGAGGAUCCGAGCGUUAUCCGGAUUUAGUGGGUUUAAAGGGAGCGUAGAGGGGUUGUUAAGUCAGUAGUGAAAGUUUGGGGCUCAACCGUAAAAUUGCAAUUGAUACUGGCAGUCUUGAGUACAGUGGAGGUAGGCGGAAUUCGUGGUGUAGCGGUGAAAUGCGUAGAGAUCACGAAGAACACCGAUUGCGAAGGCAGCUUACUAAACUGCCACUGACAUUGAGGCUCGAAAGUGUGGGUAGCAAACAGGAUUAGAUACCCGUGUAGUC
RNAcentral lists this ribosomal RNA (460 nucleotides) under uncultured bacterium. Its description in RNAcentral is "partial 16S ribosomal RNA". It matches the Rfam family "Bacterial small subunit ribosomal RNA", at positions 338 to 795 of the family's 1533-position model. The record is from RNAcentral.